UAGAAUAGAUAUCUAUCUCUAC
This 22-nucleotide non-coding RNA is filed under the name Arabidopsis thaliana (thale cress). Lineage: Eukaryota; Viridiplantae; Streptophyta; Magnoliopsida; Brassicales; Brassicaceae. The record is from RNAcentral.